CAAUAGCGUAUAUUAAAGUUGUUGCAGUUAAAAAGCUCGUAGUUGAAGUUCGGGAGAAUGGAACCGGACCACGGGACCGCCUCCCAAAUUCGCAAACACGACUUCACGUAUUAAUUUGCGUGUUGCUCGGGUUGCGUCGUUUACUGUGAACAAAUUAGGGUGUUUAAAGCAGUCUUACGUUUGAAUACACUAGCAUGGAAUAAUAAGAUAGGACCUUGGUACUAUUUUGUUGGUUUGCGCACCAAGGUAAUGAUUAAUAGGGACAGUUGGGGGUAUUCGUAUUCCAUUGUCAGAGGUGAAAUUCUUGGAUUUCUGGAAGACGAACUACCGCGAAAGCAUUUACCAAGGAUGUUUUCAUUAA
This 361-nucleotide ribosomal RNA is filed under the name uncultured eukaryote. Its description in RNAcentral is "partial 18S ribosomal RNA". It matches the Rfam family "Eukaryotic small subunit ribosomal RNA", at positions 592 to 976 of the family's 1831-position model. The record is from RNAcentral.